Molecule: ribosomal RNA, 424 nt
Filed under: Celastrus racemosus
Lineage: Eukaryota; Viridiplantae; Streptophyta; Magnoliopsida; Celastrales; Celastraceae
Description: eukaryotic LSU rRNA
Rfam family: Eukaryotic large subunit ribosomal RNA
Source: RNAcentral
CACGGGCCCUCGAUACGCCCGUGGAAUGCCGUCGUUGCGAUCGUGGAUGGCAGCGCGCGCCGUCACGGCGUGCCCCGGCACUCGCGCGCUCCCGUCGUCGGCCCGCGGGCUCCCCAUUUGACCCGUCUUGAAACACGGACCAAGGAGUUUUACAUGUGUGCGAGUCAACGGGCGAGAAAACCCGUAAGGCGCAAGGAAGCUAAUUGGCGGGAUCCCCCCCGGGGGUUGCACCGCCGACCGACCUUGAUCUUCUGAGAAGGGUUCGAGUGAGAGCAUACCUGUCGGGACCCGAAAGAUGGUGAACUAUGCCUGAGCGGGGCGAAGCCAGAGGAAACUCUGGUGGAGGCCCGAAGCGAUACUGACGUGCAAAUCGUUCGUCUGACUUUGGUAUAGGGGCGAAAGACUAAUCGAACCAUCUAGUAGC